GAUUAACGCGAAGAACCUUACCAAGGCUUGACAUGCACCGGAAACACUCAGAGAUGGGUGCCCCGUAAGGUCGGUGCACAGGUGGUGCAUGGUUGUCGUCAGCUCGUGUCGUGAGAUGUUGGGUUAAGUCCCGCAACGAGCGCAACCCUCGUCCUAUGUUGCCAGCACGUAAUGGUGGGAACUCAUAUGAGACUGCCGGGGUCAACUCGGAGGAAGGUGGGGAUGACGUCAAAUCAUCAUGCCCCUUAUGUCUUGGGCUUCACGCAUGCUACAAUGGCCGGUACAAAGGGCUGCGAUGUCGUAAGGCGGAGCGAAUCCCAAAAAGCCGGUCUCAGUUCG
RNAcentral lists this ribosomal RNA (339 nucleotides) under uncultured bacterium. Its description in RNAcentral is "bacterial SSU rRNA". It matches the Rfam family "Bacterial small subunit ribosomal RNA", at positions 954 to 1295 of the family's 1533-position model. The record is from RNAcentral.